Molecule: ribosomal RNA, 768 nt
Filed under: Haloferax sp. BAB-2986
Lineage: Archaea; Methanobacteriati; Methanobacteriota; Halobacteria; Halobacteriales; Haloferacaceae
Description: bacterial SSU rRNA
Rfam family: Archaeal small subunit ribosomal RNA
Source: RNAcentral
UUUUCCGGUUUGUGAUCCUGCCGGAGGUCAUUGCUAUUGGGGUCCGAUUUAGCCAUGCUAGUUGCACGAGUUUAGACUCGUUGCGGAAAGCUCAGUAACACGUGGACAAACUACCCUACGGAGAACGAUAACCUCGGGAAACUGAGGCUAAUAGUUCAUAGGGGAGUCGCGCUGGAAAUGCCGACUCCCCCAAACGCUCCGGCGCCGUAGGAUGUGUCUGCGGCCGAUUAGGUAGACGGUGGGGUAACGGCCCACUGUGCCGAUAAUCGGUACGGGUUGUGAGAGCAAGAGCCCGGAGACGGAAUCUGAGACAAGAUUCCGGGCCCUACGGGGCGCAGCAGGCGCGAAACCUUUACACUGCACGCAAGUGCGAUAAGGGGACCCCAAGUGCGAGGGCAUAUAGUCCUCGCUUUUCUCGACUGUAAGGCGGUCGAGGAAUAAGAGCUGGGCAAGACCAGAAAAAAGACGCCGCGGUAAUACCGGCAGCUCAAGUGAUGACCGAUAUUAUUGGGCCUAAAGCGUCCGUAGCCGGCCACGAAGGUUCAUCGGGAAAUCCGCCAGCUCAACUGGCGGGCGUCCGGUGAAAACCACAUGGCUUGGGACCGGAAGGCUCGAGGGGUACGUCCGGGGUAGGAGUGAAAUCCCGUAAUCCUGGACGGACCACCGAUGGCGAAAGCACCUCGAGAAGACGGAUCCGACGGUGAGGGACGAAAGCUAGGGUCUCGAACCGGAUUAGAUACCCGGGUAGUCCUAGCUGUAAACGAUGCU